GCUGCCCGCUUUCUUCUUUCCUAAUACAUGCAAGUCGAGCGACCAGACGAGGAGCUUGCUCCUCUGCCGUUAGCGGCGGACGGGUGAGUAACACGUGGAUAACCUACCUAUAAGACUGGGAUAACUUCGGGAAACCGGAGCUAAUACCGGAUAAUAUAUUGAACCGCUUGGUUCAAUAGUGAAAGACGGUUUUGCUGUCACUUUUAGAUGGAUCCGCGCCGCAUUAGCUAGUUGGUAAGGUAACGGCUUACCAAGGCGACGAUGCGUAGCCGACCUGAGAGGGUGAUCAGCCACACUGGAACUGAGACACGGUCCAGACUCCUACGGGAGGCAGCAGUAGGGAAUCUUCCGCAAUGGGCGAAAGCCUGACGGAGCAACGCCGCGUGAGUGAUGAAGGUCUUCGGAUCGUAAAACUCUGUUAUUAGGGAAGAACAAAUGUGUAAGAAACUAUGCACGUCUUGACGGUACCUAAUCAGAAAGCCACGGCUAACUACGUG
RNAcentral lists this ribosomal RNA (497 nucleotides) under uncultured bacterium. RNAcentral's name for it is "partial 16S ribosomal RNA". It matches the Rfam family "Bacterial small subunit ribosomal RNA", at positions 34 to 507 of the family's 1533-position model. The record is from RNAcentral.